This 460-nucleotide ribosomal RNA is filed under the name uncultured bacterium. Its description in RNAcentral is "partial 16S ribosomal RNA". It matches the Rfam family "Bacterial small subunit ribosomal RNA", at positions 338 to 795 of the family's 1533-position model. The record is from RNAcentral.
CCUACGGGAGGCAGCAGUGAGGAAUAUUGGUCAAUGGACGAGAGUCUGAACCAGCCAAGUAGCGUGAAGGAUGACUGCCCUAUGGGUUGUACACUUCUUUUAUAAAGGAAUAAAACGAGGCACGGGUGCCUUUUUGCAUGUACUUUAUGAAUAAGGAUCGGCUAACUCCGUGCCAGCAGCCGCGGUAAUACGGAGGAUCCGAGCGUUAUCCGGAUUUAUUGGGUUUAAAGGGAGCGUAGAUGGGUUGUUAAGUCAGUUGUGAAAGUUUGCGGCUCAACCGUAAAAUUGCAAUUGAUACUGGCAGUCUUGAGUACGGUUGAAGUAGGCGGAAUUCGUGGUGUAGCGGUGAAAUGCUUAGAUAUCACGAAGAACCCCGAUUGCGAAGGCAGCUUACUAAACUGUGACUGACAUUGAUGCUCGAAAGUGUGGGUAUCAAACAGGAUUAGAUACCCUAGUAGUC